Long non-coding RNA from Brienomyrus brachyistius, 1618 nucleotides. RefSeq lists it as uncharacterized. The transcript has 6 exons. The record is from RefSeq and is a predicted model, not a curated record. Lineage: Eukaryota; Metazoa; Chordata; Actinopteri; Osteoglossiformes; Mormyridae.
CUAAGGCAAAGGUCCACCGGCUCCGACAAGACUGGACCCAAAUCACCCGAUCACCACAUCAAAAGGGACACCUCACCCCCACUGGGCGGCCAGAACCCUGCAGCCAAAUUCCAGCGACAAGGCCUGACUUCCUCAAGACACAGAUGCAUCCUACAAUCGCUAACUCACACUAACACAGGAGGACCCGAUGUGACUGCCCAAGCUGAUUUACGGUGAAUACCGGCUAAACCUCUGAGGCAGGCACAAGGUCAGAUACGAGUUCCCCUAACAUUGGGCCAAGAUCGCACUGCCAGCAGGGCCUGAUUCAGAGCCGAGAUAACAACAGAAAACGCUGCAGUUUGAUGGCAUGAGAGGCUGGCUGAGAAACCCCUACCUUUACUUUAGGUUUUCUGCUUUGAGUCCAGUGGGGAGCUCACUCUGCGCUCCUCCCCCGGGGCACUGGCCGCCCACAGAGCCCUCGUGGGUCAAACUCGGACGGGUACCCCGAGCCAGGCCAAGGAUCCAGCGGCGGUCUUGAUGGAGUACCUGCUCCCCCAGCAGUGCUUGGACCUGACUCCCCACAUGGGGCCCCUCAUGUCCUGGAGAGCUUGGAGGGUGAGGGCUUUGAAGAGGCAGGGCCAGAAGAGGAGCAUGACUUCACCGACAGCCUCCUCACUCUGCACUCCUCAGUGUGCGCAGGGAAGGAAAGCCUGAAGCGCUGCCUGCUGGGCCAAGGCACCAGGCCUGCACAGUGGCUCACGUGAGCAGACUUUUGGAGGCCAUCUGCUUGGAGCUCGGCUUUCUUCACCCAGCUGGCCAGAAGAUCGCUGGGAAGCAUUCUUUUGCAAUGGGAUACGUCUAUUUGGCUGCAGUGUGUUGGUGAGAUAUCACAUUCCCAAAGGAACAUUCAUUUAAAAAUGCAGACGCAUUCUGUGUACAACAACAGAUAUAAAAAAACACGAUGCUAAGUCCAAAUGCCUACAUUUACUGUCUUACGCAUUAAGGAAUAAAAUACUGGUGAGUUACUUUUGGUUUAAUUUAUGUUUGUGUUUAAAAUGAAGAAGAAAAUUCACACAUUUCACAGCAAAACAAGUGUUAAAGAAAUUAAUUGUUUUUGCUGCCAAAAAUUAUAUUGUAAUACACUUUUAAAGGAAGCUGUCUUUCAGCAUUUAAAUAACUACUGUGUCUGCUGGGACAGUAGGGCCCUGUGAUCUUAAUAUUAAAGUAUUUGUUUUUAAUCACUCAUGUAGCGUUGAUGCUGCAAGGGAAGUUGCAUCACUGGGGAGACUCGUGAAUGAUGAUAAAAAACCAAAUUCAACAAUCAUGAAGAUGGAGGUGGAUGACACCUCUCAUCUUUGCCUUUAUGCCAUUAUGGACUUGGCCAAGAUGUGACAUAUGACUGCACUGGCAUUCUUGCCACUUAAGGGCACAAUCAAAGCUAUGGUUUAGCUUUCAAAAUGAAGUUUAGGAAAUAUGCAUGAUUGUGAACUAUGAUAUGUUUAAUUUCAUAAAAUAUGCAGCCAUAAAACAGUCAUAAAAUAUGAAUAUAGUGUUAAAUUCCAACAGUCAUCAGCAAUCAUGAAAUUCACGUAACGUUCAUACAUUUAAGAAUAACUGCAGUUUGGUCUUUAUUGAUGAA